RNAcentral lists this long non-coding RNA (774 nucleotides) under Cottoperca gobio. RNAcentral's name for it is "lncRNA (ENSCGOG00000023317.1)". Lineage: Eukaryota; Metazoa; Chordata; Actinopteri; Perciformes; Bovichtidae. The record is from RNAcentral.
UUAUUCAUGAAUUCCUCUCACUUCCUCUCCCUUUUUUCCUGUUAUCUUAAGUUACCUGCCGGUAAUGAUGAAGCGUACAGUGUGAUUACCUCAGUACCUGCUGCUGACUGUCCUACUGGUUUGGAUAAAUCGAAAAUGCAAGAGUCUCAAAAUGAAGACUCUGAUAUAUACCAUGUGUACUCCACCAUCUGCGAGGAGCCACCUCCAUCAGCCCUGAAGGACAUGGUGUACAGCACCCAGUAGGCACAUUGAAACAAAAACGUGUUAAUACUGUAUAGAGAAACAGAACGCAGACAGCCUUAAGAACUGUUUCAAAUGAUGUGUAAUUUUUAAACUUGUCCUUUAUAGUGUAACCUAUGAUCUAGGGAGGAAAAUUGAUGUAUCUGCCAUGAAUGAACAAAUUCUUAGCUGGAUGGCUUCUUAUCUGUCAGAGAGGGACCAGCAGGUUGGGUAGGGUGUUACUUCUCUGAGCCUUUGCCCGUCACUUGCGGAGUGCCACAAGGCAGUGUCCUGAGCCCCCUUCUGUUUUAACGCUGGUUUUGUUUUCAGUUUGUGAGUCUGUGUGUGUGUUUUUCUCUGUGGACAGAUUUUUGUAAAAAGAUGCAGUCAUGAAACUAUACAGAUGUGUUGUUGAGAUCAAAUUUAAGGUUAAGUUCGAAGAUGGGCAUGGGACCAUUGGCGAAGGGACCAUUGGCCCUCCUCUUUAUGCCCCCCACCUUAUGGCCAAUUUAUCAUCAAAAAUCUUUACAGGUCUUUAAUUGAGAUACAAAACAA